CUGAAGCCCCCUGUUUAACUGACUCAGACACCCAGGUGCCCCUAUAAACGUAACCUUAUAUGGAAAAAAGGGUCUUUGCAGGGGGAGGUUCUCCCGGAUUAUCUGAUGAGGCUCUUCAAACAAUACCUAGUGUUCUUCUAAGAAUGGCAGAUGGAGAAGUGACACAGAGGGUGAGGACAGGUGGAGACAGCAGUGAUUUGGCCACAAGCCAAGGAAUGCUGGUAGCCACCAGAAGCUGAAAACAGGAAGAAUGGAUUCCUUCCUAGAGCCUUCAGGAAGGCUCUAGAGCCUUGACUUCGGCCCAACGAAACUGAUUUUGGAUGUCUGUCUUCCACAGUCAUGAGAGAGAUUAAAUAUUUGUGGGGUGUUUGUUGAUUUGUCCUUUCUUUUGGAAAUAACAGACACGUUUAACUGUGCCUGGUUAGAGAUUUGUUUCCUUUUGGGAAUUUUAAAAGGAAAGGAGGCAAAUUUCUCUUCUACAAAAAGUAAACUGACUUGCCUUUCUGCUGUAGGUGGCUCCAGAAGUUAGUUUUGGGGGUAUUGCUCUGUAAUUGGUCAGGGUUGCCAUAGGAAGAGUUUAAAGACAGAACAAGUCUGACUUGGCCCCUCAGCCCCCAGAGGUCAGGAAGCUGAGGGAGCAGCGUGCGCUGCCGGGUCGCCCCUGUGGCAACACCCUGUGACCCUCAGAGCAAUGCGAGCGGUCCGCCGGGGAGAGCGCCCGAGCCGGCCUCGCUCGCUCCUCCCCCGGACGUCGAGGGUACAAAGUGGGAGCAGGAGAGGAAGCGACGCUGGCGGCGGGAGGCUGUGUGUCCCGAGGCGCGAGUGUGUGGGGGGCGAGCUCAGAAGCCGAGAGCGGCUGACGAGACGCUGCCAGCCGACUGUCAGGGCGGCGGACUCGACGCCCCGGAACGGCUUCCGGCGGAAAGGACUCUCCGUUAGGCCGGGAUCCGAUCCUACCGGAAGAGUUUUACCCGUUCUUGCUUGCUGGCUGUGGUGCUGAGGAAAAACUAUGAAUGGAUGGAGUGUGCUUCUUUUUUUCUAGAAGAUUCCAUGAAGCUUCCCAGCAACUCUUUCAUUUCCUCCUCGUUACUGUCUGGAACAUCCAGUUUUCUAUUAAAUACUUGGACUUUAUCCCCUGAGAUGUAUCUACUUAUCAAGACAAGUUCUGCAGGAGAAAUAUCUAAAUCAACCUCCAAUAUUAGUGGGACCAGAAAGUCUGAUGGAACGGAGGGAAAGUUGUAAACCUGAAGGCUCUACUGACUGGGCUGUGCUCCUCCACAGUUUCCUACCACCCAGAGCCGAGUACACCUUAACACAAGAAUUGAAACUGAACCAACAGUGGGUCAGGAAGUCCAGAUUUAGUGUACAUUCAUAAAUAUUUGUCACUGUAGAAAAAUAAAAAUAUGACCGAUUCUAAGUUAACAGGCGAGCACAGUAUUCUGAAAUACACUUUAUCAUCUAACAGAUCACGUGGUGAGAUUCCAAUCAUGUAUCAGCACGUGUUCUCAAACUGCAGUCUUCUUUACUGGCAAUUAUGCUUGGACAUUUAUUGACAGAUAACAGCUGCUCUAGUACCUCACUUAUUUUACUUCAUGUGUUGACAUUUCCCAUUUCCUCAUAUUUUCAGAAAGCCUAGAGUACUUGAAGAAAACAGACACUUUGAUAUUACUUCUUAAAUCUUUUAUGUUUCAUUCAACAUGUGAAAAUAUCAUAAAGUUGCUAAUUCCUG
Long non-coding RNA from Herpailurus yagouaroundi (jaguarundi), 1729 nucleotides. RefSeq lists it as uncharacterized. The transcript has 3 exons. The record is from RefSeq and is a predicted model, not a curated record. NCBI's taxonomy places the organism in Eukaryota, Metazoa, Chordata, Mammalia, Carnivora, Felidae.